AUCCCUUCCCGCAGAUGUGCACGACCUACCCUUCCCCAGCCAGCCGCCGCCAACCAUGCUUGCCUCCGGCCAACCGCCCCUGCUGACCCUGCCGCCCUCAUCGCCGGCGGUCCCCGGUAAGCACCUCUCCAGAGAUGCGGGAUCAAGCCGCCGCCACCAUGGAUUCAGCCGCCACGCCCCAAUCGAUGGUCCUCAUGGCCAGCCACCGCCGGUGACUUACACCGCCACGCCCAAUGCCCCCCUGCCAGUCACGGCCGCUCCACAGAAGAGCAUUAAUUCCACCAUAUUCCUUCGUCUUCCCCGCUUUUAUGUCGCAAACUCUUCCACCUUCCAUGCCACAAAUGCAUAUGAAACGGCCUCGCAGCACUCAAUUUACUACCGUCAUUAUCUCCUGCUUCAUUACCCUGCAAAUGCGGAAAAGGUUGUGCUUAUAACCCCUCUGCCAUACGCAUCGACCACGAACGCCUGCUCACAUCCAUGUCUGGGAACCAACUACAGCCGUACUAGGUUGUGCUAGGGAUGAAAGGAUGCUGAGCGUGUAGGUUUUUUGCUGCUCAGAUUGGCCACAUUGUAUCACAGAUUGCUCUCCGAAUCGAAAGGUGCUUCAACUUCUGUUUAGUAGGUCUCUUGCUCCUCGGAUUGCCUUCAUUUCAGUUUUGCAGCGGUCUCCUGCUUCUUACAUUGGUUCACGAAGCUACUGACCCUGAAAGAGUGGUGAUGCGAGUGAGAUUCUGAGAGAUUUCUCUCGGAUCAAAAGGAGCUCGACGUUAUGCUUCACAGAUCUCUUCCUGCUCGGACUGGAUUCAUUGCUUCAUAGGUAUCUUGCAGCUCGCAUUGAUAAAAAAUGGAGUCUAAUGAUGGAUCAUCCGGUUCAUCAAGUGAAACAGUCAAUGAAAUAGAAAAUCAUCCAGAAUGUCGCUAUAUGACACCAAAUGAGAUUGUUUGGCGCUUGCCAGAGAGAAUGAAGAUUGAUUCAGUAUCCAGGUUCCCCGUAAGUUAUGUCAUAAAGAAAAGCUUCUCGGUUGACAAUGCACAAGUGUUACCUUCUACAAAGCCAUAUCCAUGCAAAGAAAUGAUGACCCAUCCAUCUUCGAAGAAUAUCGAGAGUGCGAUGACCCAUACACCAGAGGAUGCAAACAAUACUACACCUCCCUCUUGCCAACCCGCAACUAAUGUCAUUGAGAAAAAAAAUAGGUACUCUUUGGCUAAAAUGAGCAUUGAACUUUCAGAAGAUGAAACCACCAAAAAAGAGAUUAUUGUGCAUUUAGGACAUGCGAGGGAAAAAUGACAUUGUCAAGGUGCAUGCAAUCACAAGAAUAAUGCUGCACAAGUUAGCAACAUGAACGACAUAGAAGAGAUGCACCUACGAGCUACACUACUACCUUUCUACAUAAAAUUUAGUUACAUCCUUGCUUCAAUUGUAAUCGCGACAAACUCAUGUUAUUACUAUUUCCUAAUGACCCUAUGCAUAUUACCUAUGCAAUUAUUAAGUCUGAAUUGUGAAGUCCAUGGGUGAUAUGCACUUUACAGAGCUGAUUAUUUGUAUUUUAAUUCAAUUGUUCUCAAAUCUAUUAACCUUGAUGGUUCAAUAAAUAUACAAAUAUA
Triticum dicoccoides is the source of this 1605-nucleotide long non-coding RNA. RefSeq lists it as uncharacterized. The record is from RefSeq and is a predicted model, not a curated record. Lineage: Eukaryota; Viridiplantae; Streptophyta; Magnoliopsida; Poales; Poaceae. The transcript has 9 exons.